This 221-nucleotide long non-coding RNA is filed under the name Elaeis guineensis (African oil palm). RNAcentral describes it as "long non-coding RNA (EGUI_LNC066608)". The record is from RNAcentral. Lineage: Eukaryota; Viridiplantae; Streptophyta; Magnoliopsida; Arecales; Arecaceae.
GCCGCGGAGGCCGUGGACCACCUAGUGGAUGCCUUUCGGGGAGGCAUCAGGUGGAGAUCUGGCAAGAGAAGAAGGAGAAAAUAUCGAAGAAGAUGAUCGAAGACAAUCCUGUUGAGUACUCUUUUAAGAAUAAGGGUACUGCGAAGACACAGGGCCCUUCCUCUAGCGCCAAUUCUGUUGGUGCAGAAUUUCGCUGAUGUCGGAGAAGCUGGAGUCGAGGG